GUUUUAUCGGACACUAGAAGGUAAAUAAGAGCCAAAAAAUACUCGUUUUUCUUGUUUGCUUUAUAUAUUAAUUACACAACGAAGCUUUUGUUCCUCUGUGGUUUGUUUUUUUUAACCACAACACAUAUUUUGUUAAAGUAAAUAUGGGCAGUGUUGGAUUACUAGUCCUGCUUGACCUCAUCAUUCCCACUGCAGUGCGCGUCCAGUGCGUAAAGGGCGCAGGGGAAAUUUUCCGUAGACCUGCGUGUGAAGGCGGCAGAAGGAAAGGGAGGAGGGCAUAAUGGAUUACUAUACUGCCACUGAGUUAAGAUGCUUACCAACUAAUUACCUGUCCACUAGAAAAUCCUCUGCUGCCCCAAACCAGCAAGUAUCCGCGAGGGAGGGAGACGUGGAGCCCAGGAGAAUAAUCUGAUCCUGUUUGGACUCCCAGUCGGGAAAUUUUGGUCACCUUCAUUACAGUUUAAAAAUAUUUUGAAAAUAUUUUACUCCUGGAUUGUUUGAAGGGUGGGUUCAGCGAAGAAGCUUCUUCAGUUUUUCUAACUGAUGGGGUUUUGAGCGCUAUAAGGAUACUACAUGAUCAAGCUUUUUACAGUAUCGAUCUCUCCCGGAAACGGGAAUAUGAGCCCUGCUUUGGGACCCAUUGAAAGCAUCUCAAAAAUCACUUAGCACAUCAUUCCCUACAGCCAGAAUCAAUUCGAACAGCAGACCUUCAGACCGUGUUCAGGAAGGCUCUCAUGGAGGCCAUAAAUGCAGUGCCAAGACCUCCCCCCCACCCCAGCUACCCAGUGCUAACAUUUAGAGCUCAAAGACAGUGGGUGAACUGGGAUAAACAGUCCGAUCCAGUAGCCCAGCAGCAGAUGGCAUAGCUGGAUUUACUCACUAUCCUGUGAGCUAUAAACAAAACAGAGAUGAGGGAAGGACACUACUGAUUCUGAUACAGACUCUGCAUGUGACUGCAAAACCACUGGCACCAAAACACAAAACUUCAAAAGUCCGAAUGCCGUGAGAGUCCAUUAUGGCCGACUGCAGAGGACCUGAGGUUAAGUGGUGCCAGAAGAGAGAGGAAAGAGGGAGGCCGACAUGCUGACAGCUGGUACGAGUGAUUAGACCGUGCAGUGAUGCAGGGAAGGCAUCAAAGCUCUUUAGGGAGAAUCCCUUAGUGGGAGGACACAAUGAUACACACACACACACACACACACACACACACACACACACACACACACACACACACACACACACACACACACACACACACACACACACACACACAGAGGAAUGAAAUCCUGAUACACAACUUCCUGGUUGCUAAAACUGCUUACAAACUCAGCUUACCACAUCCAACAGCAUAGGCUGCACUGACCAUCUGUCUUCUGCAGAUGCAUCACCAACCAAUGGAUUAUCAGCAGCUCUGCCCUAGGACACACACCCCUCUUUCACACACAUACUAACCCCCCUCUGAUUUCGAGAGUCUGGUAAUACAACAGAAUGAGUGGUAUCAUUAGAUUAGAUUGGGUGUGGAAGUUAUGGAAGGAUCUCCUCAUUAAUCACACGCGCUAAUGGCAGUUUAAUAGCUGUUGUCUCAACUGCUUCUUUCCGUUGUACAUCACUGUGCAGCUCCUCUGUUACAAUAAAAGUGUUUUAAUCUCAACAGGAUGGUAAGUGUUGAUUCAUUUGAGAUUAUCUCACAAUACAAACGACCAAAAAAUGCUUGAGGAAGUCAAAGAAAAGCUGGGAUUUGGAAGCAAAACUUGUUUUUCGGGUAAAUUUUAUUGUUACGUUAUCAGAGUAUUAGAUGCAGCAUUGUGAGCUUUAGUCUGCUGCCAUAAAGAAUCGUAUUAUAUAGUUAAAGAAGUAUAGAGGCCAUGCACUAUAAACACACACGCGUACAAAGAGGAAGACUGGAUUACAAUAAUCCAGGGACUGGGGGUAUUUUUAGGACUACAUGACCAGAGGCAGACACUUGAGGAAAACAGAUAAUCACUGUCAUAUGACCAGCUGGAUUUUCUGGAUAUACAGUUAAUUACGUAGUGUCUGCGAGGAACACAUGUAGAGCGAAUGAUGUCAGUACAAAAUUAUUUUGACUGCCUCCCUUAGUUAUGUUGCAAUAAGUCAGGGCUGCUGGGGGCUUUAUAUUAGCAAGCCAAAGUGCUCAUAUGGGGUCUAAUUGUUGGGGUUUCUAUGUUUCCCAUGUUUCCCAAGUACUAAGUAAAUUGUUACACUACUCACUACAGUACUUUCUCAUUACUCCAUAAAAUGACCUCAAAUGCAAUGUCUCAUAACUAUCACGUAACAAUAUAAAACUUUAGGCUACAGUCCCACACACUAAUACCAACAUGAAUCCCUAUCCUAAUGAAGACACAUGUACAAUCUUUCUUUUAGUAUUUACAUAUGAACGUGAAGGUGUGACAACAAAAGUAAAGAUUAAAAAAAUCUUUACUUUUGUUUGAACUUAUUGUGAUUGUUUCUGUCCUGGCAACAGUUUGCCCGUUACCAUCACACUUUUGUCCCUUUUCUGGAAUAAAAAUAAAAGUGCUGUCUAUAUUUCUGCUCCUGAAAAGCUGUGUCUCUGUACUGCGCCACAAUUUUCCUCCUCCAGCAUACGAAAUGAAAGCAUCUGAGUGCAGUGCAACCGUGCAGGAAAAAAAAAUGCAUGUUUGCUUUAUGAUUUUUUUUCUAUCGACCUGGCGUGCAGAUAUCUGAAGAAUCUUUGUGGCACAAGUAACAACAUAAAUGCAACUUUAAGGUAAUUACUGAAUUUAGUAAUACAUUCCAUCAAGUUACAGUACUGCACUUUUACCCUAACCUUUAGCAAAGCCUUCACCUUAAAAUUUGGUGAUAUAUGUUAUGGGGACUUAUUGACCUCACAAUGGAGGUAGCCCACAUAUUGUGACUGUGUGGCUUCAUGUCCCCAAAGCACAGUAUUAACACACACACACACACACACACACACACACACACACACACACACACACACACACACACACACACACACACACACACACACACACACACAGGUUUCAGAUACUCCAUACAAGGAUAGCAGCACUGAAGGCUCUGACAGUGACACAUUGUUGUGUCCACACAUACUAUUGCAUUUGUUCUGUAGAUGCAUUUACCAGAAGCGCUAGAGGGCGCUAGUGAGUAUGUUGUUCUGGUUGUGGUUUUGAAGAAGAAAAAAGAAAAAUAAAGAAAGGAGUCAACUCCGGUAAUCCUCUGUUCC
Molecule: long non-coding RNA, 3220 nt
Organism: Astatotilapia calliptera (eastern happy)
Lineage: Eukaryota; Metazoa; Chordata; Actinopteri; Cichliformes; Cichlidae
Source: Ensembl